GUAUGUAGCUCAGUGACAGAGCGCUUGCCUAGCACACGUGAGGCACUGGGUUCGAUCCUCAGCACCACA
RNAcentral lists this transfer RNA (69 nucleotides) under Marmota monax (woodchuck). RNAcentral describes it as "tRNA.Ala". The record is from RNAcentral. Lineage: Eukaryota; Metazoa; Chordata; Mammalia; Rodentia; Sciuridae.